RNAcentral lists this ribosomal RNA (700 nucleotides) under uncultured bacterium. Its description in RNAcentral is "bacterial SSU rRNA". It matches the Rfam family "Bacterial small subunit ribosomal RNA", at positions 94 to 794 of the family's 1533-position model. The record is from RNAcentral.
AGCGGCGCACGGGUGAGUAACGCGUACAUGACCUGCCUUUAAGACAGGGAUAGCCCUGGGAAACUGGGAUUAAUACCUGAUGUGAUAAUAUGUAUAGAGAUGUAUUAUUAAAGCUGAGGCGCUUAGAGAUGGGUGUGCGUUUGAUUAGCUAGUUGGUAGGGUAACGGCCUACCAAGGCGACGAUCAAUAGGGGGCGUGAGAGCGUGGCCCCCCACACGGGUACUGAGACACGGACCCGACUCCUACGGGAGGCAGCAGUAAGGAAUAUUGGUCAAUGGACGGAAGUCUGAACCAGCCAUCCCGCGUGCAGGAUGAAUGCCCUAUGGGUUGUGAACUGCUUUUAGCAGAGACGAAACGCCUUCAUUUAUGGGGGUCUGACGGUAUCUGCGGAAUAAGCACCGGCUAACUCCGUGCCAGCAGCCGCGGUAAUACGGAGGGUGCAAGCGUUAUCCGGAAUCACUGGGUUUAAAGGGUGCGUAGGCGGAAUAUUAAGUCAGUGGUGAAAGCCUGUCGCUUAACGAUAGAACUGCCAUUGAUACUGAUAUUCUUGAAUUGGGUUGAGGUUAGCGGAAUGUGACAUGUAGCGGUGAAAUGCAUAGAUAUGUCAUGGAACACCAAUUGCGAAGGCAGCUAGCUGGGCCUUGAUUGACGCUGAGGCACGAAAGCGUGGGUAGCGAACAGGAUUAGAUACCCUGGUAGU